This 468-nucleotide ribosomal RNA is filed under the name uncultured bacterium. Its description in RNAcentral is "partial 16S ribosomal RNA". It matches the Rfam family "Bacterial small subunit ribosomal RNA", at positions 28 to 507 of the family's 1533-position model. The record is from RNAcentral.
GACGAACGCUGGCGGCGUGCUUAACACAUGCAAGUCGAACGGAAAGGCCCUGCUUUUGUGGGGUGCUCGAGUGGCGAACGGGUGAGUAACACGUGAGUAACCUGCCCUUGACUUUGGGAUAACUUCAGGAAACUGGGGCUAAUACCGGAUAGGAGCUCCUGCUGCAUGGUGGGGGUUGGAAAGUUUCGGCGGUUGGGGAUGGACUCGCGGCUUAUCAGCUUGUUGGUGGGGUAGUGGCUUACCAAGGCUUUGACGGGUAGCCGGCCUGAGAGGGUGACCGGCCACAUUGGGACUGAGAGACGGCCCAGACUCCUACGGGAGGCAGAAGUGGGGAAUAUUGCACAAUGGGCGGAAGCCUGAUGCAGCAACGCCGCGUGCGGGAUGAAGGCCUUCGGGUUGUAAACCGCUUUCGCCUGUGACGAAGCGUGAGUGACGGUAAUGGGUAAAGAAGCACCGGCUAACUACGUG